This 492-nucleotide ribosomal RNA is filed under the name uncultured bacterium. RNAcentral's name for it is "partial 16S ribosomal RNA". It matches the Rfam family "Bacterial small subunit ribosomal RNA", at positions 29 to 507 of the family's 1533-position model. The record is from RNAcentral.
AGUGAACGCUGGCGGUAGGCCUAACACAUGCAAGUCGAACGGCAGCACAGUAAGAGCUUGCUCUUACGGGUGGCGAGUGGCGGACGGGUGAGGAAUACAUCGGAAUCUACUUUUUCGUGGGGGAUAACGUAGGGAAACUUACGCUAAUAUCGCAUACGACCUACGGGUGAAAGCAGGGGAUCUUCGGACCUUGCGCGAUUGAAUGAGCCGAUGUCGGAUUAGCUAGUUGGCGGGGUAAAGGCCCACCAAGGCGACGAUCGGUAGCUGGUCUGAGAGGAUGAUCGGCCACACUGGAACUGAGACACGGUCCAGACUCCUACGGGAGGCAGCAGUGGGGAAUAUUGGACAAUGGGCGCAAGCCUGAUCCAGCCAUACCGCGUGGGUGAAGAAGGCCUUCGGGUUGUAAAGCCCUUUUGUUGGGAAAGAAAAGCAGCAGGUUAAUACCCCGCUGUUCUGACGGUACCCAAAGAAUAAGCACCGGCUAACUUCGUG